GACCUCAGUCCCAGGUUUGUGGAUGGCAUUGAAACAGACAGUGGUAGUAGUUUGGGCCAGAAGUUUGACUUCAGCCCCUGUGUGACCCAGAGCAUCCCAUCCAGCUCUAGUCCAGGAAUCCAGGAGGAUGCAGAGACCGUGCAGACUGUUACUAAACUGAAAGAAGAGGUGAGUGACACCCGGCAGCACCAAUGAGGAAU
Coregonus clupeaformis (lake whitefish) is the source of this 200-nucleotide long non-coding RNA. RefSeq lists it as uncharacterized. The transcript is spliced from 3 exons. Lineage: Eukaryota; Metazoa; Chordata; Actinopteri; Salmoniformes; Salmonidae. The record is from RefSeq and is a predicted model, not a curated record.